AAGGAAAAAGAUUUUUCGAGUUGUUUUUUUCAUUUCUCUGAUUUUCUCUUUCCUAUUAUUGUUUGGAUGGGUAAGCAUUCACCUGUAGGAACUAUACACAGCAAAUAUCUACCUGUGCAGCAGUGCGUGUUAUCUUUCGCAUUCCAAGGCCGAAUGGAUCCCGUAAAAAUCGUGGCGAAAAACAGCGACAGCUGUUCUCGUCACUAUGGUGAUAACUGUCUAUACUGUGUAUGGUUAGUGAAAGGUUUUCUCUUUUCUCUCUCUCUUUCGGCUGAGAUGCCUAACCUUCAUUUCCUUAGUUAACAACUUUGACUCGUCGGGAAGACCAAAAGAAAGUUUCUCCGUUCAACCUGUAAAGGGGACCUUGGAAUACCAGACAUUUCAAGAAAGUCCCAUAUGAUGCUUUAAGUUGUUGAUUAGUUAUCAAAAGACCCUAUGGGCUCGUUGAUAUCGACUCAUCAAACAGGUAGAUAGAGGCACAUUCACCUGUGAAGUUCACCUUAAACAAAAGUACGAAGCCAUUUCUCAUUGUGACAUUACUGAGUUAAACUUAGGUCCCUUAUUUUUGGGGGGUUUGGCAACCUGACCUCAAUAAAAUGAUGCACUUUAAUUGGUAUAAGACAUCACUAAAGUCGACAUCGUUGCAGGUGAAAGCUAAAUUGGCUCUAUAGAAUUUGUUUCCCGUCUUUAAGUUUAGUAUUACCUGACUAGACUUUAAAACAAUAAGACGAAUCAGAAUGAAAAGAAACGCACGUACGACCUUUUUUUGGCAGUUUGUUGUGACGUUUGGUUCUGCAUUUGUUUCCUCAUGAAACAAACGGAUGGAAAUGACAUUUGACGAUGAUGAGUUAGUACACCAAGUGACUUGCUAACAGGGGAAACAUACACCUAGGUAACAUCUCUGGGAAUUGACCUUCAAAACCAUACAGGAAAGUCGAAUCGUUUUCCGUGACCGAAACAAUGACGUACUCUGACAGUGAGCGAGGAGCGCAUCACACAAGAAGACGUGUUUAACUCCACGUAUGCGUAGAACACAGGGAAACCUGAGAGAGCAUUUGAUAUACUAGAAGAGGGUAGCACGGAAGACAAGCGAUGCAAAAAGAAAAUGCGAUAUGAAAGAUGUCGCGUUGGUCCUCUCUUCACAGCAUGGAAGCUUCCGGUUCUUUAGCGAAUCUUCAACCAGGAAAUCCUAGACGGCCAAUGGAAGAAAUCACGUGAACGUCCAACAGACCAGCGGAUGUCCCCUGCUGCUUAAUUACCUUUUCUGCCGUGAUGUCCUCGAUGCUAUACGCAUGGUGCUGAAUUUUCAGGCGUUGGCUGACAUUUGGUGACAAGAAUGUGUGAUGCAAUCUCUCCUUGAAUUCCGUUUUUGCGCUCUCACCCAGCAAUCUAGUUUAUCAAAAAUGAAAAGCUGACGUCCACCCUAAAAAGUCCCGUUUAUAACGACUUACUAGGUCAGGUACGUACUCUAGGCAACGGCCAUUAUUGUUUAUUACUAGCAUCCAUUUUUUGCUAUUUACAGCCCGUAAUCGGCGUUCUCUAUAGCAAUUUUUUCCUAGUUCGUAUCGUGUGCCUUUCCCUUUUUUGCAUACAACCUUGGCCGGGUGUGCAAUCAAAUAUUCUUUAUGAAAAACUAUCUAAUAUAGAUAUGAUAUGGAUAAAUCUAAAAAAACAAUUCUGCUACAUCAUAAAUGAGAAACUUUUCAAAGGCCAGCAUACAUUUCUCCUCAACUCUAUUUUUAACAUCUAAUUUGCUUAACGAUUCUUGUUUGGCUUUGAUCUACCUAAUGCGGUUUCCUAUCCCAGCAAUAGAUGUACGGUAAUCCAUAGGCAUAAUACAGCCAGUUAUGUUACUAGGACUA
RNAcentral lists this long non-coding RNA (1862 nucleotides) under Daphnia magna. RNAcentral describes it as "uncharacterized LOC116921723, transcript variant X1". Lineage: Eukaryota; Metazoa; Arthropoda; Branchiopoda; Diplostraca; Daphniidae. The record is from RNAcentral.